AAGAAGGUGGAACAUGUGGUUUAAUUUGAAGCAACGCGAAGAACCUUACCAGGUCUUGACAUCCCCUGACACCCCGAGAGAUCGGGCGUUCCCCUUCGGGGGACAGGGUGACAGGUGGUGCAUGGUUGUCGUCAGCUUGUGUCGUGAGAUGUUGGGUUAAGUCCCGCAACGAGCGCAACCCUUGACCUUAGUUGCCAGCAUUGAGUUGGGCACUCUAAGGUGACUGCCGAUGACAAAUCGGAGGAAGGUGGGGAUGACGUCAAAUCAUCAUGCCCCUUAUGACCUGGGCUACACACGUGCUACAAUGGGCGGUACAAAGGGUUGCGAACCCGCGAGGGGGAGCCAAUCCCAAAAAGCCGCUCUCAGUUCGGAUUGCAGGCUGCAACUCGCCUGCAUGAAGCCGGAAUCGCUAGUAAUCGCGGAUCAGCAUGCCGCGGUGAAUACGUUCCCGGGCCUUGUACACACCGCCCGUCACACCACGAGAGUUUGCAACACCCGAAGUCGGUGGGGUAACCCUUACGGGAGCCAGCCGCCGAAGGUGGGGCAGAUGAUUGGGGUGAAGUCGUAACAAGGUAGCCGUAU
This 582-nucleotide ribosomal RNA is filed under the name Anoxybacteroides rupiense. RNAcentral describes it as "bacterial SSU rRNA". It matches the Rfam family "Bacterial small subunit ribosomal RNA", at positions 927 to 1505 of the family's 1533-position model. The record is from RNAcentral. Lineage: Bacteria; Bacillati; Bacillota; Bacilli; Caryophanales; Anoxybacillaceae.